AGUGAACGCUGGCGGUAGGCCUAACACAUGCAAGUCGAACGGCAGCACAGUAAGAGCUUGCUCUUGCGGGUGGCGAGUGGCGGACGGGUGAGGAAUACAUCGGAAUCUACUUUUUCGUGGGGGAUAACGUAGGGAAACUUACGCUAAUACCGCAUACGACCUACGGGUGAAAGCAGUGGAUCUUCGGACCUUGCGCGAUUGAAUGAGCCGAUGUCGGAUUAGCUAGUUGGCGGGGUAAAGGCCCACCAAGGCGACGAUCCGUAGCUGGUCUGAGAGGAUGAUCAGCCACACUGGAACUGAGACACGGUCCAGACUCCUACGGGAGGCAGCAGUGGGGAAUAUUGGACAAAGGGCGCAAGCCUGAUCCAGCCAUACCGCGUGGGUGAAGAAGGCCUUCGGGUUGUAAAGCCCUUUUGUUGGGAAAGAAAAGCAGCAGGUUAAUACCCCGCUGUUCUGACGGUACCCAAAGAAUAAGCACCGGCUAACUUCGUG
This 492-nucleotide ribosomal RNA is filed under the name uncultured bacterium. RNAcentral's name for it is "partial 16S ribosomal RNA". It matches the Rfam family "Bacterial small subunit ribosomal RNA", at positions 29 to 507 of the family's 1533-position model. The record is from RNAcentral.